This 76-nucleotide non-coding RNA is filed under the name Trypanosoma cruzi strain CL Brener. The record is from RNAcentral. Lineage: Eukaryota; Euglenozoa; Kinetoplastea; Trypanosomatida; Trypanosomatidae.
CCCUGGCUCAGCCGGCCGCCUCGACGUGGUGCCAGGGUUUAGUAUUCUUUGCUAGAGAGGAAGCUAAGCGUCUGCU